GUUCAGGAAAGUCUAAAGACCUUGUGUGUGUGUGUGUGUGUGUGUGUGUGUGUGUUUAAACUUAGCAACCUCGUAACACUGCUGAAGAAUCACCAGGGAACAGGGUAGUAUAUGGAGAAAAAUUAUUUAAUAGCUUGACAUAUUAAGGACAUGAAAACAUAUUGGUUUUUAACUUAUGAUAUCUGAUUUAAAUAUUAGUCUUUUCUAUUAAUAAUUGAACACAGUUUGCUUCAUUUUAUGUAAUACUUUUUAAUAAUAAGCUGGUCAGAUUUUAAAUAAAGUUCUAAAUCUUCACAUUGUUUUCUCUUUUCGUGUAUGCUACAUUUUGUGUGUUUUAGAUGAACCAGUAACCCAUGGGGGAACGUUUCCACAUUUAAUGUUUCCUCCUGUUAUUAUAUGUUGUUUGAUUUUGCAAUGAUUAUUUACUUUCAAUAAUUUUCAAGUAUAAAAGAAAAAAGACUUUAUGCGGAAGGGGGGAGAAAUGAGAAACCGCUCGUGUUUGUUUCCUCUGUAUCAGGGAACAAAAAGAAGAGUUUCCCACAAGCCGAAAUCAGUUUGCUGAUUACUUGGAACUAUCUGGUUAUGAGAAGAGGAAUAGAUUCAAAGUGAAAGAAAUAGCACAUUUAUAUCACCACCCUGGGCCAUUGUCUUUGGCCAUUUGCACUUAAGGUGCUUACAUGAGCAGGCAGUGUCUGUCUUCCCAAACCACUGCUGUGCAACGAUUAUCCUCGACAACCUGCUCCGUCUUCACUGGAACAUAACUGACAUAUAAUCUUGAGGAAAUAGGAUACCUCUGCAGGCUUCUGGAACCACAGUAGGGGCACGGAGUGUCCCUUGUUACGUUGCACAAAGUCAGUACUGUGUUUCAGCUAGUAGCACAGGCUGCAGGGGCAGGGGACCUCCAUCCAGAUCCGGGAUCUCUUUAUCUCUGAAAACUUUUAGAAACUACUUAACAACCCUGCACCUUCUUUCACUCAUUGAUGAGAUGAAGAUCGUGAUAUGCUCACUUCGCAACACUGUUGUGAGGACGCACACUGAUGUGCGCAGAGUGCUCUGAAGAGUCCUGGUAGAUGGAAGCAGCACAGAGAGCAGGAUCUGCUCCCAACCUCACUCCCACUCCCUCCACCUGCAGGAAGAUGGGGAUGUAGACCUCAUCACCUCCUUGUGCUGUUGAGCCCCUGGGUACUGUAAGAACAAGCGAAGGAAGGAAAUUGUAAAAACGGAGAAAUCUUGAAGAAAAUAUUGGAGGGUGCUUAGAAGCACCUGACAGAACACAGUAAAUGUGUUCACUUAACUUUAUCUUUUCCUUCGUCCAUAGAUUUAUAGAUUACUUUUUUUAAUUGAGGCAGACUGGUCAUUGUCAUCAUUACUAUAAUGAUAUAAUGAUACAAUGCCUGUGUGUGUUGCAACGUGAUCACCACAAUAAGUCUAGAUAAUAUCUGUCAUCAUACAUUGUUAAAGUCUUUUAUAACUCUAACAGUAUAUAGAUUAAUUUUGAUUAAUUUACUUUUUAACUUAAAAGCACAGGGCCGAAUGGCAAACGUGUGGCCAGGAAGUUUGAUCUUUUGUCAGUCUUCCGGAAAGGUCCCUCGGCUUUAUGGAUCCAAGAUUUAUUAAUAUGUUCAAUGUUUGUAACCAGUCACAUCUGGGAAGAAUGCUCGUUCUGUUGUUUCCUAAUUAUGUGAUCUUGGAAAAGUCACAAAAGUUCUGUGAAUCUCAAUUUCCUCAUCUGCAAAAUGGAGCCACAAUGACUGGUGAAAAUUUGUUGUGGUGGUUAAAAUAACUGAUUUUGGAAAACUUAGCAACCUGUCAAGCAGAUAGGGUAGCAUUAAACCAAUGGCAUUAGGUGUUUCUAAUCUUCCCUAAGUCAGAAUUACACUUGGUUGACUUCGGCCACGGUUCUUGGUUUGACGUGACCGAGGCUCGUCGCUGUCAAGUCAAGUGAGGUAACACGCACAGGAAAACACUGUGGCACAACAUGCACGAUGCACAUGUUAUAAUUUUGAAAUUUGCAUUAGUAGCUUCUCCACUAUGGUUAUGCUCAGGGUUGACCUUAGACCAUCUGUUUUCCUUUAACUGUUCUCUCACUGCUCCUUCUCCUCGAUGACUUCAGCCAUCACCCUUCCAGGCCCUUGGGCACAAUUUUCAGUUUUCCCCAUCUCACUCUUCAUAAUCAAAAUCUUGCAAAAUAGUCUUCUGUAUUCCUCUGAGAAAAAUAUUUACUUCAUUUGUCCUCUUUUAUCUACCCUAGUAGGAUAAUCCCUAGUGGAAGUUUUAGUCACAUCAUGUCAUUUUCUUUCACAUCAAUGCUCCUCUGUUUGUGAUAGAACUCCUCCAUCUAACGUCAGAGUCUUAGUCUUCUAGAACCUCCGAGCUCAUGGCUGAGGACCCCGAGGGCCUCGGAUUCUUUCUGAUCCUUGUGCCUUUGCUCUUUCUCUCUACUUCAGCACAUACUCUCCCUUUUCUUCAAUUUCUGUUAAUAAAUUGAAUAAUUUUAAGAAUCAUUGGGGUUAUUGACCAUUUUGAACAGUAACAAAUGAUUUAAUAUGACUUUAUUUGUAUCGUUGAACUAAUAAUACUGUUUGGAAAAUCGAGCCAUAUAAAGAUCAUCAAUUUUUAUUUGUUCAAAUCUAGUAAUUUCUUUAAAAAUUCUUAAUCUUUAUAUGAGACAUAGUCAUGAUACCAUCAUUUAAAUAUGCCCUAGAGA
Mustela erminea (ermine) is the source of this 2707-nucleotide long non-coding RNA. RefSeq lists it as uncharacterized. The record is from RefSeq and is a predicted model, not a curated record. The transcript has 3 exons. NCBI's taxonomy places the organism in Eukaryota, Metazoa, Chordata, Mammalia, Carnivora, Mustelidae.